This 468-nucleotide ribosomal RNA is filed under the name uncultured bacterium. RNAcentral describes it as "partial 16S ribosomal RNA". It matches the Rfam family "Bacterial small subunit ribosomal RNA", at positions 28 to 507 of the family's 1533-position model. The record is from RNAcentral.
GAUGAACGCUGGCGGCGUGCUUAACACAUGCAAGUCGAACGGACAGGCCCUGCUUUUGCGGGGUGCUCGAGUGGCGAACGGGUGAGUAUCACGCGAGUAUCCUGCCCCUAACUUUGUGAUAACCUCAGGAAACUGGGGCUAUUACCGCAUAGGAGCUCUUGCCCCAUGGUGGGGGUUGGAAAGUUUCGGCGGUUGGGGUUGGAAUCGCGGCUUAUCGGCUUGUUGGUGGGGUAGUGGCUUACCAGGGUUUAGGGGGAUACCCGGCUAGCGAGGGUGACCGGCCACAUUGGGAAUGAGGUACGGCCCAGACUCGUACGGGAGGCAACAGUGGGGUAUAUUGCACAGUGAGCGGAAGCCUGAUACAACAACGCCGCGUGCGGGAUGACGGCCUUCGGGUUGUAAACCGCUUUCGCCUGUGACGAAGCGUGAGUGACGGUAAUGGAUAAAAAAGCACCGGCUAACUACGUG